UGAAUAUUAUAUUUGGGUUUUAACUAGAAGUAAAAUAAAAUACAUUUUUUUGCAUUACAGAGCAGAUUCACACUUCCUGAGCCAGAAAGUACAUUCUGAUUUUGAAAACAGUUCCAAGUUGUAUUAUAUGUUGUUUAAGACGAAAUAUAAAUCCUGCCUGUUGACUUUAAAGGGACCAUCACAUCUGCAUGAUGAGUGAGGCUUGCCCACAGCUUUCUUGCAAAUUUUGGUUGGGAAGCUUUAUCUUUGUGGGAGCCCAGCUGUAUACUUUGCUGAGUGAGCUACACAGUGCAAUAGUUCCAGCUUUUUGGUCUUUUCUGC
RNAcentral lists this long non-coding RNA (321 nucleotides) under Gallus gallus (chicken). RNAcentral's name for it is "long non-coding RNA NONGGAT001581". The record is from RNAcentral. Lineage: Eukaryota; Metazoa; Chordata; Aves; Galliformes; Phasianidae.